AGGCGCGAAAACUCUACAAUGCAGGCAACUGCGAUAGGGGAACAUCGAGUGGCAUCUACAUUAGGUGUCUGUCCAGCUGUCUAAAAAACGGCUGUUAGCAAGGGCCGGGCAAGACCGGUGCCAGCCGCCGCGGUAAUACCGGCGGCUCGAGUGGUGGCCGAUAUUAUUGAGUCUAAAGGGUCCGUAGCCGGCUUUGCAAGUCUUGUGGGAAAUCCAGCGGCUUAACCGUUGGGCGUCUGCGGGAUACUUACAUUGC
RNAcentral lists this ribosomal RNA (256 nucleotides) under uncultured archaeon. Its description in RNAcentral is "partial 16S ribosomal RNA". It matches the Rfam family "Archaeal small subunit ribosomal RNA", at positions 337 to 592 of the family's 1478-position model. The record is from RNAcentral.